Molecule: ribosomal RNA, 78 nt
Filed under: Escherichia coli
Lineage: Bacteria; Pseudomonadati; Pseudomonadota; Gammaproteobacteria; Enterobacterales; Enterobacteriaceae
Source: RNAcentral
UCUGGCGGCAGUAGCGCGGUGGUCCCACCUGACCCCAUGUCGAACUCAGAAGUGAAACGCCGUAGCGCCGAUGGAUGC